Octopus bimaculoides (California two-spot octopus) is the source of this 1821-nucleotide long non-coding RNA. NCBI's taxonomy places the organism in Eukaryota, Metazoa, Mollusca, Cephalopoda, Octopoda, Octopodidae. The record is from RefSeq and is a predicted model, not a curated record.
UUAAGUGUUUAUAAAACAUUUCAUCCUUUUGUUAUAAUUAUUCUUCUUAAUAAUCCUCUGAAUAACCCUUAACUUUAACUUUAUACAAUAUAGCAGUAUUGCUUAUAAUAGUAAACAAUAGUACUACAUGAUAAGAUUUCCCCUGUUUUCAUUUCAGCCCCCUUAAUUGUACCAGUAAAAGGGAAUAAAUAAAACAAACAGACAACAGGUUGAGUUAAAACGUUUAUAUUUAAGUAGCAACGGUCGGAUGAAGAGUUCAAACGGCAAAAUAGCCAAGAGUCCAUAUUGCAGGGGUGUGGAUAGGGUGGGUAAAGGAACUGGUAGGUUGGAUGGAUGGAAAGGGUGGGAGGGGGGACCGAAAGGGCCUGUUUGAAUGAUGGAGCCCACAUGUGAACGAGAGGGAAUCACAUUAUAAGAUGGUUGUAUGUGGGGGAGAGGAAGGGGGUACGCUUGUAGUAGGUUUUAAAUUGUGUUGUUGAGGAGAAAGUGGGAGAGAGUUAAAUAAAGAGAAAGACAAAUUGGUGUAGUUUAGCCCUAGGUCAGUCCCGAAUGAGCAGAACCAUGGUCAGAGGAAUUCUAGCCAUGGCCAUCCAGCUUUUUGGUCAUAUAUCAAGGAUGGCAUUGGCCUAAGUGUUCUUCCUGUUGUUGAGACGGUGUGAUAUGAAGGAGAUUUGACCACUGUUUCUAACAAGUGUAACUACCAUGUAGAGGUGUCCCUCAUUGGCUCAUACAUACAUAUAUACAUAUAUAAGAGAGUAAGGUGUGAUUUGAGGGAGAUUUGGUUGCUAUUUCUACCAGGUCCAGCUACCAUGUAGAGGCCUCCCUCAUUGGCUCAUACAUAUAUACAUAGAUAAGAGAGUAGGGUGUGAUUUGAGGGAGAUUUGGUUGCUAUUUCUACCAGGUCCAGCUACCAUGUAGAGGCCUCCCUCAUUGGCUCAUACAUAUAUACAUAGAUAAGAGAGUAGGGUGUGAUUUGAGGGAGAUUUGGCUGCUAUUUCUAGCAGGUCCAGCUACUACAUAUAUACAGAUAUAUAUAUUUACUAGCAGUAUAACUCGACCAUGUCCAGGUGUGACUUAUUACGCCAUCUACGAUAAGUCUUGCUAGGUGAAAAUCAACUAAAAAAGAAAGCCUUACAACGAAAAAACCCUUAUGGUGUAAAUAUGUUCAUAAUUCAAAAGAUGAUGAAAUUAAUAGGGAAAGUCUGAAGGCUGUUUUGCGUUAAAUUAUUAAGUGUAUGUAAAUUUCAUCCGUCUAAUUGGCUAUACAAAUGCUUGUGCAAAACAACUUUUUGCACUGUCCUGAUUACACAUAGCAGGGUAAUCCCUUUUAGCAGGAGCUAGGACGGCAAUUUGUGAUGAAGCAAUUGCUGGCGAUCUGUUGCUACACAGUUUCACCAGAAUUCUAUCAGAUUGGGCAGAUGUUGAUGCACCAUUUUGCAUUAUAUUCAAAGUAGCUACUGGAAUGCGGUGAAUUGCUGCAGUCUGUUGUUGUCAUUUUAAACCGAUUGGCUUCUUUCCCCAGCAAAAUCUCUUUGGUGGCAUAAUCUAUGUAUAUAUUAAACAGAACAACAAAAGUUAUAAUAGAUGGCAGGGUCGGUACUUUUCACAUUUCUGUAAUUUUUCAGAUUAACAUCCGCACGAUUACCCAACCCUAACCCUAAAACCCUAAACCUAACCCCAAAACCGUAACCAUAAUACUAACCCUCACCGUAACCCUGAGGGGGUCUUAUUAAACAUCUUCAUUUUUUAUCUCUAAAGAUUAAAAAAAAAAAAAAAAAAAUGAAAAAUUUUAGUAAGAGCCCUUAAUGCAGGCCCUAGGUA